UCUGGUGUCAGCCGCCGCGGUAAAACCAGCACCUCAAGUGGUCAGGAGGAUUAUUGGGCCUAAAGCAUCCGUAGCCUGUCCUGUAAGUUUCCGGUUAAAUCCAUUUGCUCAACAAAUGGGCUGCCGGAAAUACUACAAGACUAGGGAGUGGGAGAGGUAGACGGUACUCGGUAGGAAGGGGUAAAAUCCUUUGAUCUAUUGAUGACCACCUGUGGCGAAGGCGGUCUACCAGAACACGUUCGACGGUGAGGGAUGAAAGCUGGGGGAGCAAACCGGAUUAGAUACCCGGGUAGUCCCAGCUGUAAACGAUGCAGACUCGGUGAUGCCCUGGCUUGUGGCCAGUGCAGUGCCGCAGGGAAGCCGUUAAGUUUGCCGCCUGGGAAGUACGUACGCAAGUAUGAAACUUAAAG
Molecule: ribosomal RNA, 410 nt
Filed under: uncultured Nitrososphaerota archaeon
Lineage: Archaea; Thermoproteati; Nitrososphaerota
Description: bacterial SSU rRNA
Rfam family: Archaeal small subunit ribosomal RNA
Source: RNAcentral